Molecule: long non-coding RNA, 213 nt
Filed under: Homo sapiens (human)
Lineage: Eukaryota; Metazoa; Chordata; Mammalia; Primates; Hominidae
Description: long non-coding RNA NONHSAT257006
Source: RNAcentral
CCAAAUAAUAGCAACAAAACUGUCCUAACGUUUUCACUGUUCUGUAAUUUUGUUUUAAUAUAGAGGAUACCCAUAAUUUCUUAACACUGGAAACAUCAUUCUGAACGAUGUAGGAAGCGGUCAGUAACGUGAAUGAUGUUAUUGUACCGUCUCCAGCUUUUUCCUUCUUCCCCCAGAUGGUCGCACCUGUGCAUACAUCCCUGUGCAUGUGGG